This 27-nucleotide non-coding RNA is filed under the name Macaca fascicularis (crab-eating macaque). The record is from RNAcentral. RNAcentral also lists the same sequence under 1 other name. Lineage: Eukaryota; Metazoa; Chordata; Mammalia; Primates; Cercopithecidae.
UCCCCCUUUUGUACAUGGUCUUGUUGA